GAUGAAGAACGCAGUGAAAUGCGAUAAGUAAUGCGAAUUGCAGAAUUCCAGUGAGUCAUCGAAUCUUUGAACGCAUAUUGCGCCCUUUGGUAUUCCGAAGGGCAUGCCUGUUCGAGCGUCAUUAUCACCCCUCAAGCCCCCUGGGCUUGGUGUUGGGCGACGUCCCCUUUGGGGACGCGCCUCGAAACGCUCGGCGGCGUGGCACCGGCUUUAAGCGUAGCAGAAUCUUUCGCUUUGGAAGUCGGGGCCCCGUCUGCCGGAAGACCUACUCGCAAGGUUGACCUCGGAUCAGGCAGGGAUACCCGCUGAACUUAAGCAUAUCAAUAAGCGGAGGA
This 335-nucleotide unclassified non-coding RNA is filed under the name soil metagenome. RNAcentral's name for it is "partial contains 5.8S ribosomal RNA, internal transcribed spacer 2, and large subunit ribosomal RNA". The stretch from base 1 to 121 matches the Rfam family "5.8S ribosomal RNA", at positions 35 to 154 of the family's 154-position model. The record is from RNAcentral.